Long non-coding RNA from Lagopus leucura (white-tailed ptarmigan), 344 nucleotides. RefSeq lists it as uncharacterized. The record is from RefSeq and is a predicted model, not a curated record. Lineage: Eukaryota; Metazoa; Chordata; Aves; Galliformes; Phasianidae. The transcript is spliced from 4 exons.
UUUUUUUUUUUAUAUGCUUCUUUAUGAGUGCAUGUACAUUAUACUAUUUGUAAGCAGUGAACAAUUUUAUAGGGAAGACUUUAAUCAGUGAUGUGCCACCUCAAGAAAAGUUCACUCAGUGGCCCAAUCUUCCUGUUUUUGCUGGCCUCCUCACUCAAGUCUGCCUUGAGUUCUUCCCUCUGGUGAUUUUGCAAGAAAUGACACAGGCUCUCCUCCCUUCUCUCAUCCUGACUGAACGUUUCACCUCUGCAUUAGUGCAAGAAUCAUGACACCCAAUUCGGAGUGCCAUUAAUGUACAGAAAGAAAUGUAAGAAGAUAUUGGUUGGCUUUGAAUGGGGUGUAAA